CCUACCUACUAACCAGCUCUCCCCACACUGAUGAAUUUAUGUGGGGACCCUUUCCUCCAGUCUCCCAUGUGUCACUGGGAAUACCAUUUGGCAACCUCUAUUUCAAAGGUGUUAUAAUAAUUCAACAUGAAUGUGUGCUAUAAUGCCACCCCACCUCAGAGAUGUAAGAGUGAAAAUCAUGUCUGACCUUUCUGGGAAGAACUCUGCCUUUUACUACCAUCUGGAGUUAUACAACAUCACUAUACAAAGCUCAGAAGAGAGGGGUGCAGAUGUGCAGGCCUUAGAAGUUGAGGAUCUUUUCUUCUAAUUAAGGCACUUGUUUUUCCUA
Molecule: non-coding RNA, 328 nt
Organism: Rattus norvegicus (Norway rat)
Lineage: Eukaryota; Metazoa; Chordata; Mammalia; Rodentia; Muridae
Source: RefSeq, a predicted model, not a curated record